UUAAAUUGAAGAGUUUGAUCAUGGCUCAGAUUGAACGCUGGCGGCAGGCCUAACACAUGCAAGUCGAACGGUAACAGGAAGCAGCUUGCUGCUUCGCUGACG
RNAcentral lists this ribosomal RNA (102 nucleotides) under Escherichia coli. RNAcentral describes it as "partial 16S ribosomal RNA". It matches the Rfam family "Bacterial small subunit ribosomal RNA", at positions 1 to 100 of the family's 1533-position model. Lineage: Bacteria; Pseudomonadati; Pseudomonadota; Gammaproteobacteria; Enterobacterales; Enterobacteriaceae. The record is from RNAcentral. RNAcentral also lists the same sequence under 18 other names.